GAUGAACGCUGGCGGCGUGCUUAACACAUGCAAGUCGAACGAUGAAGCCCAGCUUGCUGGGUGGAUUAGUGGCGAACGGGUGAGUAACACGUGAGUAACCUGCCCCUAACUCUGGGAUAAGCCUGGGAAACUGGGUCUAAUACCGGAUAGGAGCGUCCACCGCAUGGUGGGUGUUGGAAAGAUUUAUCGGUUUUGGAUGGACUCGCGGCCUAUCAGCUUGUUGGUGAGGUAAUGGCUCACCAAGGCGACGACGGGUAGCCGGCCUGAGAGGGUGACCGGCCACACUGGGACUGAGACACGGCCCAGACUCCUACGGGAGGCAGCAGUGGGGAAUAUUGCACAAUGGGCGGAAGCCUGAUGCAGCGACGCCGCGUGAGGGAUGACGGCCUUCGGGUUGUAAACCUCUUUCAGUAGGGAAGAAGCGAAAGUGACGGUACCUGCAGAAGAAGCACCGGCUAACUACGUG
RNAcentral lists this ribosomal RNA (466 nucleotides) under uncultured bacterium. RNAcentral's name for it is "partial 16S ribosomal RNA". It matches the Rfam family "Bacterial small subunit ribosomal RNA", at positions 28 to 507 of the family's 1533-position model. The record is from RNAcentral.